RNAcentral lists this transfer RNA (72 nucleotides) under Capra hircus (goat). It matches the Rfam family "tRNA". Rfam says of the family: Transfer RNA (tRNA) molecules are approximately 80 nucleotides in length. Their secondary structure includes four short double-helical elements and three loops (D, anti-codon, and T loops). Further hydrogen bonds mediate the characteristic L-shaped molecular structure. tRNAs have two regions of fundamental functional importance: the anti-codon, which is responsible for specific mRNA codon recognition, and the 3' end, to which the tRNAs corresponding amino acid is attached (by aminoacyl-tRNA synthetases). tRNAs cope with the degeneracy of the genetic code in two manners: having more than one tRNA (with a specific anti-codon) for a particular amino acid; and 'wobble' base-pairing, i.e. permitting non-standard base-pairing at the 3rd anti-codon position. Lineage: Eukaryota; Metazoa; Chordata; Mammalia; Artiodactyla; Bovidae. RNAcentral also lists the same sequence under 1 other name. The record is from Rfam by way of RNAcentral.
UCCCUGGUGGCUCAGUGGUAAAGAAUCUGCCUGCCAAUGCAGGAGACCCAGGUUCCAUACCUGGUUGAGGAA